Ipomoea nil (Japanese morning glory) is the source of this 96-nucleotide long non-coding RNA. RefSeq lists it as uncharacterized. Lineage: Eukaryota; Viridiplantae; Streptophyta; Magnoliopsida; Solanales; Convolvulaceae. The transcript is spliced from 3 exons. The record is from RefSeq and is a predicted model, not a curated record.
CAAUAAAUUAUUCAUUAUAAUAAUAUUAUAACAAUAUUUUGUAUUUGUUGACAUGAAUUUCAUCAUAAACCAUCAAAAUAAAACUCAAGUACAGCC